AAAGGAUUUACUAAAGGUGGAUUAUGUGCACCUAUACAUGGAAUGAAUAUGUGUUGUUGUAUAAAGUAAUGAAGCUAUUGUAUCAUUGAAAUAAAUAAUAAUAAUAAAAGAUAUAGAAGUUAUAUUAGAACUAAGCAUUCUAUGGUUGUGGCUGAAUAAAAAAAGAUCAAAUAAGAAAUGUGAAGUUGUUAUUCAUAUUAUUGAAAAUCGGUAUCC
Molecule: long non-coding RNA, 216 nt
Filed under: Lathyrus oleraceus (garden pea)
Lineage: Eukaryota; Viridiplantae; Streptophyta; Magnoliopsida; Fabales; Fabaceae
Description: Pisum sativum (pea) long non-coding RNA (PSAT_LNC020165)
Source: RNAcentral